GAUGAAGAACGUAGCGAAAUGCGAUAAGUAGUGUGAAUUGCAGAAUUCAGUGAAUAAUCGAAUCUUUGAACGCACAUUGCGCCCCUUGGUAUUCCAUGGGGCAUGCCUGUUCGAGCGUCAUUUGUACCUUCAAGCUUUGCUUGGUGUUGGGUGUUUGUCCCGAGGGACUCGCCUUAAAGUAAUUGGCAGCCAGUGUUUGGUUUUGAAGCGCAGCACAAGUCGCGAUUCAAGGCUACACGCCCGCUUCCACAAGCCUUUUUUCACUUUUGACCUCGGAUCAGGUAGGGAUACCCGCUGAACUUAAGCAUAUCAAUAAGCGGGGGA
This 324-nucleotide unclassified non-coding RNA is filed under the name soil metagenome. RNAcentral describes it as "partial contains 5.8S ribosomal RNA, internal transcribed spacer 2, and large subunit ribosomal RNA". The stretch from base 1 to 120 matches the Rfam family "5.8S ribosomal RNA", at positions 35 to 154 of the family's 154-position model. The record is from RNAcentral.